This 289-nucleotide ribosomal RNA is filed under the name uncultured Flavobacteriaceae bacterium. Its description in RNAcentral is "partial 16S ribosomal RNA". Lineage: Bacteria; Pseudomonadati; Bacteroidota; Flavobacteriia; Flavobacteriales; Flavobacteriaceae. The record is from RNAcentral.
CUACUGGGGUAUCUAAUCCCGUUCGCUCCCCACGCUUUCGUCCAUCAGCGUCAGUUGAUGGUUAGUGACCUGCCUUCGCGAUCGGUGUUCUAUGUAAUAUCUAUGCAUUUCACCGCUACACUACAUAUUCCGGCCACUUCACCAUAACUCAAGACAACCAGUAUCAAGGGCAGUGCUACGGUUGAGCCGCACCAUUUCACCCCUGACUUAAUUGCCCGCCUGCGGACCCUUUAAACCCAAUGAUUCCGGAUAACGCUUGGACCCUCCGUAUUACCGCGGCUGCUGGCAC